RNAcentral lists this ribosomal RNA (301 nucleotides) under uncultured bacterium. RNAcentral's name for it is "partial 16S ribosomal RNA". It matches the Rfam family "Bacterial small subunit ribosomal RNA", at positions 509 to 807 of the family's 1533-position model. The record is from RNAcentral.
CAGUAGCCACGGUAAUACAGAGGGUGCGAGCGUUAAUCGGAUUUACUGGGCGUAAAGCGUGCGCAGGCGGUUAUAUAAGACAGAUGUGAAAUCCCCGGGCUCAACCUGGGAACUGCAUUUGUGACUGUAUAGCUAGAGUACGGCAGAGGGGGAUGGAAUUCCGCGUGUAGCAGUGAAAUGCGUAGAUAUGCGGAGGAACACCGAUGGCGAAGGCAAUCCCCUGGGCCUGUACUGACGCUCAUGCACGAAAGCGUGGGGAGCAAACAGGAUUAGAGACCCCCGUAGUCCCUGUCUCUUAUAC